AUGCAAGUUUGUUUACUUUGGGUAUCUUUUUCUAUUUCCACUCAUUUGUCCAUUUUUAAUUACAAAAUUUCCACUUUGAUUUCAUUAUCAUCCAUGUUCUUAAAGAUUUAUAUAAGAAAUACAUCAAAUUCUCUUGCAUUGCAGAGAAAGAUUCUUAUUAUUAUUGUAGCAAGAGUCAUCAAGCCAUAA
Molecule: non-coding RNA, 189 nt
Organism: Vicia faba (fava bean)
Lineage: Eukaryota; Viridiplantae; Streptophyta; Magnoliopsida; Fabales; Fabaceae
Source: the annotation of a GenBank genome assembly